GACGAACGCUGGCGGCGUGCCUAACACAUGCAAGUCGAGCGGAGGUAUUCAAGGAGCAAUCUGCGGAUACUUUAGCGGCGGACGGGUGAGUAACGCGUGAGCAACCUGCCUUUCACAGGGGGAUAAGGCGGCGAAAGCCGCUCUAAUACCGCAUGAGACCCCGGUGGUGAUACCACAGUGGUCAAAGGAGCAAUCCGGUGAGAGAUGGGCUCGCGUCCGAUUAGGUAGUUGGUGGGGUAAAGGCUCACCAAGCCAAUGAUCGGUAGCCGGCCUGAGAGGGUGAACGGCCACAUUGGAACUGAGAGACGGUCCAAACUCCUACGGGAGGCAGCAGUGGGGAAUAUUGGGCAAUGGGGGAAACCCUGACCCAGCAACGCCGCGUGAGGGAAGAAGGUUUUCGGAUUGUAAACCUCUGUUCUUGGGGAAGAGCAGAAGACGGUACCCAAGGAGGAAGCCCCGGCUAACUACGUG
This 471-nucleotide ribosomal RNA is filed under the name uncultured bacterium. Its description in RNAcentral is "bacterial SSU rRNA". It matches the Rfam family "Bacterial small subunit ribosomal RNA", at positions 28 to 507 of the family's 1533-position model. The record is from RNAcentral.